UACAGAGGGUGCAAGCGUUAAUCGGAAUUACUGGGCGUAAAGCGUGCGUAGACGGUCAUGUAAGUCGGGUGUGAAAGCCCCGGGCUCAACCUGGGAAUUGCAUUCGAGACUGCAUGGCUAGGGUGCGGAAGAGGGAAGCGGAAUUUCCGGUGUAGCGGUGAAAUGCGUAGAUAUCGAGAGGAACACCUGCGGCGAAGGCGGGUUGCUGGGCUGACACUGACGCUGAUGCGCGAAAGCUAGGGGAGCGAACGGG
RNAcentral lists this ribosomal RNA (253 nucleotides) under uncultured bacterium. RNAcentral's name for it is "partial 16S ribosomal RNA". It matches the Rfam family "Bacterial small subunit ribosomal RNA", at positions 524 to 776 of the family's 1533-position model. The record is from RNAcentral.